UCAUUUUCACCUUUGCAUCUUUUAAAAAAAAAAAAAACUAAAAACUUUCAAAGGCUCUCUCAUUUCUCUUCCCAUUUUUGUCAGACGACGCCUCCAUCAAAGAUCCCACGUGCCAUGGUCGCCGACGGCACGAGCACGGCUCCGGUAAGACCCCUCCUCCCUCUCUUAUACUUCAUAUUUGUAUUAAAUCUGAAUGAAAAGAGGAGAAAGAAAUAAAAAAAAUAAAGACAAAAAUAGAGUACAAGAAAUAAUCACCUUUCCAGUAUUUUCUUGUGUGCUUUCUAUUAAUUUUUUUUCAAUGUAUUUUGUAUACAACUUGUGUUCUACCUCUUUGAGAAAAAGGAAAAAGAAAGGAAAAGAAAAACCCCCCACCCACCAUCAUUAUUCGGGCUCUUUAUAGCUAAAAAUACAACCAACUUCUCUACUGUUUUUGCUAUCUCCUCACAGGUAUGGCGACGUGAGGUAGUCGUGGGCGUGCCGACGUAGAGAGUAGCGCACGAGUCUGAGGGGCAACGUAUGGCGCUUGGGAACUGACUUGGCUGCAGUGGCUGAAGCAUUUAGGACUAAGGUUUUCUGCUUGGGUAGUGUUUUUUUAA
RNAcentral lists this long non-coding RNA (596 nucleotides) under Gossypium barbadense (sea-island cotton). RNAcentral describes it as "long non-coding RNA (GBAR_LNC003620)". The record is from RNAcentral. Lineage: Eukaryota; Viridiplantae; Streptophyta; Magnoliopsida; Malvales; Malvaceae.